CUACGGGUGGCUCCAGUGGGGAAUAUUGGACAAUGGGGGAAACCCUGAUCCAGCAAUGCCGCGUGUGUGAAGAAGGCCUGCGGGUUGUAAAGCACUUUCGGUUGGGAGGACUGCUUCUAGCACUAAUAUUGUUGGAAGUUGACGUUACCUUCAGAAGAAGCACCGGCUAACUCCGUGCCAGCAGCCGCGGUAAUACGGAGGGUGCAGGCGUUAAUCGGAAUUACUGGGCGUAAAGCGCGCGUAGGCGGCUAGAUCAGUCGGGUGUGAAAGCCCCGGGCUUAACCUGGGAACUGCAUCCGAUACUGUCUAGCUUGAGUACAGGGGAGGAGAGUGGAAUUCCACAUGUAGCGGUGAAAUGCGUAGAUAUGUGGAGGAACACCAAUGGCGAAGGCAGCUCUCUGGCCUGAUACUGACGCUGAGGUGCGAAAGCGUGGGGAGCAAACAGGAUUAGAUACCCGGGUAGUC
Molecule: ribosomal RNA, 465 nt
Filed under: uncultured bacterium
Lineage: Bacteria
Description: partial 16S ribosomal RNA
Rfam family: Bacterial small subunit ribosomal RNA
Source: RNAcentral